RNAcentral lists this long non-coding RNA (253 nucleotides) under Elaeis guineensis (African oil palm). Its description in RNAcentral is "long non-coding RNA (EGUI_LNC011719)". The record is from RNAcentral. Lineage: Eukaryota; Viridiplantae; Streptophyta; Magnoliopsida; Arecales; Arecaceae.
GCAUGUCGGGGCUUGACCUUGGUGAGCGCCGAUCGUUAGUCGAAGAGUUAAAACUCCGAGAUUUCAAACCGGAUUUGUAUUCCGACUGGACAAGUAUAAAGUUCAUUGGUAGUACAAUUUCAGGUUGUUGGCGUUCCAUGUUCGGAGAAUGGGUUUCCCUUCAAGGGUCUCCAGUCGGUAGGCUCUCGGACCAUAGGUGUCUGCUACCUUGUAGGGCCCUUCCCAGUUUGGAGCCAACUUCCCUUGGUCCAGG